CAACAGCGUAUAUUAAAGUUGUUGCGGUUAAAAAGCUCGUAGUUGGAUCUCGGCAGGCAGGGGGUGGUUCGCUCUUAGCGCUACUGCCCCAUUUGCCUGUGUGAUUGGCGGAGGUUUCGGGGUGCUCUUCGUUGAGUGACCCGGGGCGCCGUCAGGUUUACUUUGAAAAAAUUAGAGUGCUCAAAGCAGGCUUUUCACGCUUGAAUAUUCGUGCAUGGAAUAAUGGAAUAGGAACUCGUUUCUAUUUUGUUGGUUUUCGGAAAUCGAGUUAAUGAUUAAUAGGGACAAUUGGGGGCAUUAGUAUUCAGACGACAGAGGUGAAAUUCUUGGACCGUCUGAAGACUAACUACUGCGAAAGCAUUUGCCAAGAGUGUUUUCAUUAA
This 383-nucleotide ribosomal RNA is filed under the name uncultured eukaryote. Its description in RNAcentral is "partial 18S ribosomal RNA". It matches the Rfam family "Eukaryotic small subunit ribosomal RNA", at positions 592 to 976 of the family's 1831-position model. The record is from RNAcentral.